CUGGAUGUUCGAGGAGAUCUACAGUCAAUUCAAAGCUCAUAUCAACUGUGGUCUUUUGUGUGAUCUUCUUACUGCUCUCCUGAUUUUGAAACCAAUUUUUUAAUCUUGGGAAACUUGUCACUGAAAACCUUUCAGGAGAGAACUGCAGGCUUUGUCUCUAUGGCAUGACGACAAACAGCAAACUUCACUUUGUGGACACUUUUCACUCAGUCAGUAUCACUUCAUGCACUGACUCAGACCAGCAGCAGCAGAAGACCAGCCUUCCUGAUUACCGCCCUCAUUGUUUUCAUAGUGGAUGUGACAUCAGCCAAACUCACCAUGUAAAGUAGGAAGUACAGAGCACUUCUUUGUCUGUCCCAUCAGAGCUGAGCUGCUUUCAGACGACUCCGUCUUGUUGUGGAUGCUGAAGCUGAUCAUGGUUCUCCUGUGGAUGAUCCUGUUGGUGGUUCUGCUCUGUGCAGAGGCCGAGAACGUGACCGAGGUCGGAGGAGAGCUGGGGACCAAUAUCACUCUAACCUGCUCCAAUCAGACAUCAGACCCAUACUGGUACAUGGAGAUCUACAGUCAGUUCAGAGCAGGUAUCGGCCGCAGUUUUUCCUCAGCAGGCUCUACCUACUACUCUCCUGAUUUUGAAACUAAAUUUUCAAUCCUGGGAAACAAACUUGUGAUUAAAAACUUGACAGCAGAGGACUGCAGGCUUUACUUCUGUGGCAUCAAGAGAAAUGGUAGCACUCAGUUUGUGGAGAGUUUUAGCCUCGUCUCAGAUAUCUGUCCAACCCCUGACCCUGAGUGUGGAGUGUUGCAGAGGCAGACUUUCCUCGUCAGCUCAGUGAUCCUGAACUUUGUGCUCUUUUUAGUACUCUGUCUGAGUUGUGUAUGGCUGUGUCUGAAGAGGAGAAUCAGCAAGUAUCAGGCAAACCUCCCUCCAGCUGGGACCAGUGAGAGGCUGGAGGCUCCACAGUACGAGGAGAUCCAGCUCCCCACUCCCUCUGCUGCUCCGCUUCAAGAGUGUGUUUAUUACAAAAUUCAGCUUCCUCGCUCCACACUACCUCAAAGCUGAUGGACACACCUGUACAGGUGGAUGAUACCUGCUGGACAGAGGUCAGUCUGAUAACUGAAGACUUGCUGCUCCGCCGCUCGUAGGAGGAUUUAUUUUUUCCUCUCUGGUUUGAGUUGUUGGACCAAAAGUUCUGAAUCAAAAUUUUCCACAAACUUGAUGAAAGUGCUGCAAGAUUAAUUUUAGUCAGAGACAAUCUGCUCUGCUUCUGAGCUGAGAUGGACCCAAGAAUGUGACAACCUUUAGCCAAACCUGCUUUAAGGUGCUUCAGGAUUUAACACCAUAACUCAAUGCUGCUGUGAAAACCUGUAAAUAUGAAACUCCAACAUUUAAUAUUUAUUUGUUCUCUUAUAGUUUGUAUCUGUUUAUCAGUUUUUGUUGUUUUGUUUCAGCUGUUUUGUUGUUUAUGCUAUUUUGAAAGCACAGAUUUUAAACACAGUCUCAUUCCCUAAAAGGUCAGCAUGAUGAUGAAGUAUGACAACAGAAAGCUGCAUUUUACAAUUAAAUGUCAAACAGAAGUGAAACCAGGACAAAGACAAAAUAUCACAUGUUGACUGUGAGAAAUGUGAUUUUUGAAAGACAUAUUUUUUUUAAUUUGUUGCAGCAUCAAAUUUAAAAAUAAUGUUGUGAGAAGCUGUCAAAAUUACUGAGCCGUCCAUUUUCCUCUGCUUAUCCAUUUUAAGUAUGCAGGAGUCUAUACCAGCUGUCAUAGGGCUAAAGGAGGGGUACACACUGGACAGAUCACCAGUCUGUCACAAUAACAUGUAACAAAAUUAAAUGUGUUUUUUUAAAGCAUCCCUGGUAAACACUGAAGUUCUCCAGAAAGACUUUGUUCACAAAUAACUAAUCCAUCCACAUUAAUAAUCUCAGUUUGAACAUUUGGGCUGUUGAUUUAAAAUCUAAGAUUAUAUGGUCUUUGCAAAUUAUUGCAUAACAGGUUUGUUUUAGUAUAAGAAUAUGUAAAAGAACUUUCUACAUACCUGUGGCAUUAUUCUUUUGUUCUGUGAAAAUACACUGCGAUCAUUUUCAGUUUGAUUACAGCAUUUAUUUUUGGUUUAGGCAUUCGUGUAGUUAUUUAACACAAAUAGAACUUGAGUUCACACCAGUGAUUUGUUUGUUUGAAAGAGAAAAUGUGGUUUGAAGUAUUUCUUUGUAAUGUUUAAUAUGAACCUAUUAAACAUUUGAGAACAACAAGGGACAGAAACAAAUCUGGAUGAUAUUAUUUAAAAAAAGAGUUUCACAAUGUUCCUCUUUCCUCAAGGCCAUGUGAGUGUUUGUUGGUCAGAUUUCGCAGGAAACUAUUCAGCGCUUUCCUCACACGUUCUGAAAACAACAGCAAGUGACAACCUGUAAAAACAAUUUCAGUUGUUGCUUCUCAGUAAAAGGCCAGCUUCCUGUUUCCAUGUAUUCUGACCAUGUUGGGCCCCAUCCUGCUCCAACCAGUACAAACAGGUCACGUGUCAUGUCUGGUAGGCAGGAUUUGGACCCAAAUGUAGGACCCAGGAGACAGGAAAUACAUUUAAAAGGCAGCUUUAAUGCUAAAUUCCAAUGAAAAUGUUCCCCAGGAAUGAGGAAUUCAAAAACUAUACAGAAAUGAGACACACACAAAUGUAAUGAGGAAAAACACAACAAAAACUGAAUAAAGCUGAAGGAAUAAAUAAACAAGAUGAUGAGGGCAAACAGGAGAUACCUGGGAGGGUAGUUUUACUAACUGAGAAAAUAAGAGAAGGGGUGUGAAACUAAAUACAAAGACAAGAGACAAAACACCAAACAAAAUAAAGCAGGAAGUAACUGAACUUGUAAACAGAAACACAGGCAGGCAGGAAGCCGACAAAAUCAGGAAAAACAUGAUUGCAAAUUACAGAGCCAGGAAUGAGAAUAAGAGAAAUAACUCUGAAGUACAAAUGAGCUAAAAUACCAAACUCAAAAUGGCAAAACAAAGAAGAAACUACACAGAAACAUAAAAUGGGGGGGAAAUAAAAGAAACUGAAGGUACUGAACAAUAACUGAACCUGAAUGACCAAAAAUCCCAAAAAGGUUAGCAAAACGAGCAGGGAUGAGAGAAGAUGGGGCAAAAACAGGUCCAGAUGGCAGAUCAAGAAUGCUGAUAUUUGUUAAUCUGAAUUUGGAAAUCAUUGGAUUUGUGUGACUUACACCAGUGAUAAAAAGUCUUUAUCAUGUCCUAAAAUGAAUCCAUUACAACCUGAGAUGAACAAGAACACACAAACAAAGCCCAAAUUCAGAAACAGCGUGUAGAAAAACUGAGUUUAAUGAUCUCUCACAUUCAAUUCUGGGUCACUCUUCUUUACUAAGUUCCUUUGAUUGGGACUUGGAGGCAUUCGUUUAUACGCGGCUCUCUGAAGGGCCCACCACAGUAUUUCAAUCAGGUUGAGGUCUGACCUUUGAUUGGCCCAUUGCUGAACUUGAUUCUUUUCUUUUUUAGCUGUUCUGUUGGAGAUUUGCUGCACGCCUGAGCUGCGGCUGAGCUUUAGCUGUCAGAUAGAUAGCAUCAAUAUUUGGCUCUAGAAUACUUGCAUGGGCAUGCAGAGGAGUUCAUGGUCAACUCAAUGACUGUAAGGUCCCCAGGUCUCAUGACUGCAAAGCAAUCCCAAAUCAUCACCCUUCCAUCGUGCUAACAGUUGACAUGAGGUUCUUGUGCUGACAUGUGUGUUUGGUUUUCCCCAGGUGUAAUGCUGUGCACUAUCACUGAACAUAGACGCUUUUGUCUUAUAUGUCCAAAGGGCAUUAAUUUAGAUGUUUUGUAGCUUGUUUUAAUGCAUCUUCACUUUAACCCUUGUUGGCAUGUUCUUUUUAGGGUGGCUUCUUCAUUACUUUCAUAAAUAAGGCCUCAUAUCUAGUGGAGUGUUUAAAGUUACCUGUGCCACAUCAGUUUGUGGGGUUGAAUUUUUGCAGCUUUCAGAGCUCUAGUUCCUGUUUCUGCAGCAAGCUUCAGCCACAAGUUUAUCAUCACUGUAUAUGUACUUUAAACCACGCAGAAUAACGACAAUGAUCAUGCAUUUGUAUCAGUUGGUUUAGAAAGAAAACAAAAAGCAAACGCAAAACACACAUUUAUUUAUCUACAUUACCAAAACAUACCAGAUAUUUUCUCCUAGCAUAAUCCUACAGGAUCACAUUCACAUGUUGUUCAUAGAGUUUACUUUGAGCCUUAUUCACGUUUGUCUUUGAAGAAUAAAGCGCAUUAAGCACAGCCUGCAUUUGUGCUGAGUCUUUUUUUUUUUGUUAUGAUGGUAGUUCAGAAAUUUCCCCUUAAGAACUUAUUGAGUUCAGAAUAGAAACCUUUUGAACAAUUAGCCAAUCUCAAAAUGUUUAGGAACUGAGAGGCAAGUCAGUCAAAAGAGGAACAUCAGUAGAUACACAAAGGGACCCGCAAGUAACAUAAAGAACAUAAAGACGAA
This is a long non-coding RNA of Astatotilapia calliptera (eastern happy), 4473 nucleotides long. NCBI's taxonomy places the organism in Eukaryota, Metazoa, Chordata, Actinopteri, Cichliformes, Cichlidae. The record is from Ensembl.